AAAAAAGUUCUUAUAUAUAGUAACAUCUAAACCAAAAGAUGUAGUAGCAAAAAUUAAAUAUCAUGAAAAAAACUAACUAAUAUCUAUCUAAUUAUCUAAAGCUUAACCUUUUUGGUGCACUUCUGAUCUUGAAUUGACUGGCUAGUAAUAUUCACAGUAAUACUACAAUUCAUCUUCACAACAACAUAUUUCUUGAUCAUAUUCAACAAUUUAACUCUCCCACCAACACUUGUGUAGCUAUUCAUAGUAAGCAAACCACUACUAAUAUCAUCUUGUAAGCCAGGAUGUGACAUAAUCUUAUCCGUCAUAAUAUCAAUAGUUACGUUCAUCCUCAUAGUCUUCCGUGCCUUUGAUUUCCCCGGUGGGCCCCGCGCCUCCCCGAUGACCGCAUCGCGAUAGGAAAUAGUGGUGGUCGUGUUACUAUACUUAAAUGAUGAAUAAUUAGGAUUUUUCACUGAGACAUCAGCUUUUAUGGUCAUGUUGGAACCUGGUUUAGGUAUAGGUAAAAGGGUGCCACUAGUGUUAACGAGGUCUAGUUUUUCAAUUGUGACACCGUUCAUUGUAAUAAUAGGGUCUUUUAUUUUGAACACUGUGAAGAUCAAAAUAAUGAUUAUUAUGGCUACGAGGAAAACAAAGGUUGAUACACAAGCACAAUAUUUGAAACAUCUUCUUUGAUGAAACCUUUUUUUGAUGUUUAACGUUGUAUCGUCGUCAUCGCUACUAUGUGGCCGGUCGGAUGCUGGUGCUAGUGGUCUAACUUGAUCUCUCUCCACCAUUUUUAUUGAGUCUUGAAACUAAGAGGAGGAAUGGUU
Molecule: unclassified non-coding RNA, 812 nt
Filed under: Hevea brasiliensis (rubber tree)
Lineage: Eukaryota; Viridiplantae; Streptophyta; Magnoliopsida; Malpighiales; Euphorbiaceae
Source: RNAcentral